UAAUAACUAAAGGACCAUAGAAUUGAGGG
This 29-nucleotide non-coding RNA is filed under the name Mus musculus (house mouse). Lineage: Eukaryota; Metazoa; Chordata; Mammalia; Rodentia; Muridae. The record is from RNAcentral.